This 72-nucleotide transfer RNA is filed under the name Heterocephalus glaber (naked mole-rat). It matches the Rfam family "tRNA". Rfam says of the family: Transfer RNA (tRNA) molecules are approximately 80 nucleotides in length. Their secondary structure includes four short double-helical elements and three loops (D, anti-codon, and T loops). The record is from Rfam by way of RNAcentral. Lineage: Eukaryota; Metazoa; Chordata; Mammalia; Rodentia; Bathyergidae.
UGGUGUGUAGUUCAGUGGUAGAGCAUGUGCUUAGCACACACAUGGUUCUGGGUUCAAUCUCCGGCACAAAAA